GUUUCUAGCAUCUGGUAGCAGCACAUAGCAAGAGGAGAAACUCUAGAGAAGAGAAAAAGAAAAAGAUCAACGAAAGAGAUCAAGCAUUGAUCACAUGUUGGAGCAUGAUCCUGGCUCCUCCCACGGACCUUGGGUGCAGCAGAACCAGCAACGAACAAAUCUAGAGAUUUUUGGACUCGAUCGAAGGCCCUUGACGAAAUCAGCC
Molecule: long non-coding RNA, 205 nt
Filed under: Elaeis guineensis (African oil palm)
Lineage: Eukaryota; Viridiplantae; Streptophyta; Magnoliopsida; Arecales; Arecaceae
Description: long non-coding RNA (EGUI_LNC055763)
Source: RNAcentral